Molecule: long non-coding RNA, 446 nt
Organism: Pseudophryne corroboree (corroboree frog)
Lineage: Eukaryota; Metazoa; Chordata; Amphibia; Anura; Myobatrachidae
Exons: 3
Source: RefSeq, a predicted model, not a curated record
ACAAUGUUGUCACAGUACCAGUGAUGUCACAGUACCAGUGCUGCAACCUCAUAGAACCCUGGUAAGAGUACAUGGAGCAUGACCUGCUCAGUGUGUUGGAAGCACUACAUGGAUCAGCUGCCUGGACCAGAGCCGGAGGUGAUCAGCAGGACAACUGCACGACCUGGUUGCUAGGCAGCACACCAACAUUUUACUGAAUGGCCCCUUGUAAGAUGAUGUCACAGAGCUGAAUGAUGUCACAGAGCAUGUGAAGCACAGCUCCUGCAUGCAGCUCCGGAAUGCACUGCGAUGGCUCCAGUGCAAGUGACAGUAACAGAACAUUCUGAGAUCCACCCACAACAAUGAUAUAACAUGAGGAAGCGUCAGAGGUGAUUCCACAAUCAGUCAGAAGGGGCAUGGUGUGUCUCAGUGUGUAUCCGGGACGCAGGUGCCCACAUGUGAUCCAA